Molecule: ribosomal RNA, 815 nt
Filed under: Bacillus licheniformis
Lineage: Bacteria; Bacillati; Bacillota; Bacilli; Caryophanales; Bacillaceae
Description: bacterial SSU rRNA
Source: RNAcentral
CAUGCAGUCGAGCGGACCGACGGGAGCUUGCUCCCUUAGGUCAGCGGCGGACGGGUGAGUAACACGUGGGUAACCUGCCUGUAAGACUGGGAUAACUCCGGGAAACCGGGGCUAAUACCGGAUGCUUGAUUGAACCGCAUGGUUCAAUUAUAAAAGGGGGGUUUUUGCUACCACUUACAGAUGGACCCCCGGCGCAUUAACUAGUUGGGGAGGGAACGGCUCACCAAGGGGACCAUGCGUAGCCCAACUGAGAGGGUGAUCGGCCACCCUGGGACUGAAACACGGCCCAAACUCCUACGGGAGGGAGCAGUAGGGAAUCUUCCGCAAUGGACGAAAGUCUGACGGAACAACCCCCCGUGAGUGAUGAAGGGUUUCGGAUCGUAAAACUCUGUUGUUAGGGAAAAACAAGUACCGUUCGAAUAGGGGGGGACCUUGACGGGACCUAACCAGAAAGCCACGGCUAACUACCUGCCAGCCGCCGCGGUAAUACCUAGGUGGCAAGCGUUGUCCGGAAUUAUUGGGCGUAAAGCGCGCGCAAGCCGUUUCCUAAGUCUGAUGUGAAAGCCCCCGGCUCACCGGGGAGGGUCAUGGAAACUGGGGACUUGAAUGCAGAAGAGAGAGUGGAAUUCCACGUGUAGCGUGAAAUGCGUAGAGAUGUGAGACACAGUGGCGAAGCGACUCUCUGUCUGUACUGACGCUGAGCCGAAGCUGGGGAGCGACAGAUAGAUACCCUGUAGUCACGCGUAACGAUGAUGCUAGUGUAAAGUUCGCUUAUGCUGCAGCACGUGGUAAUCGACAGCAACUGACUAUGCKAU